GUGUGGCUGAAGGGCUGGUUACUGAAGACACCCUCAAACCAUCGUUAAAGGAGCCCUAAGGUCCCCAGAUGCUGCAGAACCAGCAUGGUUUGCUGCUGUGUGUGUUAGAUUUGGGUGUGUACCCCCUGCGCUGUCAUGUCAUGCUGCAGGCAGGAAUACAGAGGCACGUGCAGUUACAACAGAGAGACCAGCUCCCGGGCACUGACAUGAAGGAGGAUAUGGAGAAAGGAGCAAGGGUGAAGAAAGUGGAUCUGCUACAAUACAGAUCCACCGGCUGCCUCUCCCCGAGAGACACUGAGUGGCAGGAGCUACAGCAGACUUGUCAUCCCUUCCUCAGAGUUCCAUAACACAACUUGGCUGCCUGGGGAAGCAAUUGCCCCGAAGUGACAAAACUGGGUGAGAACAUAUUGAAGACAGGAUCCUUUCUCGAAAGAGCUUCCUUGCAAAGAUGUGGAUUGGGCAGAUUUGGCAUGAUGCAACAUACCUUGAAUAGUCAAUAUCUAAAAAAGCCACAAAGUUUUGAUUAUUCAUGGAUUCUCUUACUGGAGAUCUUACCAGUGAUCUUGAGCAUGUAUGGCAAAUCACUGGAGGGGAUAUAAUGUUUGAUGGACUAAGAGGAAUACUUGCCACUUACCAUAUUAAAGGCACAUUAUAAAUUAUAAGUAAUUAGUGCUCACGGCAUCCCUGUGAAGUACAGUAGUUGUUAGCCCCAUCUGAUAAAUAGAGAAACAGAGGCAGAGUAUUUGUGAUGGUCAAGACUGUAGGAGUCAGUGGCUGGACUAGCGCUCAGAAGCCUUUGGCUCCCACUCAGAGUGCAGGAAAAGGUUUAACUCAUGUUAGACUAGU
Molecule: long non-coding RNA, 846 nt
Organism: Mauremys reevesii (Reeves's turtle)
Lineage: Eukaryota; Metazoa; Chordata; Testudines; Geoemydidae
Exons: 4
Source: RefSeq, a predicted model, not a curated record